GCAAAUCCGGGGUACUCUAUGCUGAGAUCUGAUAGCAAGCUGUACUUGUACAGCGAAGUGGUUGAUGCCAUGCUUCCAGGAAAAGUCUCUAAGCUUCAGUUACACAGGAAUCGUACCCGAAACCGACACAGGUGGUCAGGUCGAGUAGACCAAGGCGCUUGAGAGAACUCUGCUGAAGGAACUAGGCAAAAUGGUACCGUAACUUCGGGAGAAGGUACGCUGUUGUUGGUGAUGGAACUCGCUUCCUGAGCUGACGACAGCCGCAGAAACCAGGCCGCUGCAACUGUUUAUUAAAAACAUAGCACUCUGCAAACACGAAAGUGGACGUAUAGGGUGUGAUGCCUGCCCGGUGCUGGAAGGUUAAUUGAUGGGGUUAGCGUAAGCGAAGCUCUUGAUCGAAGCCCCAGUAAACGGCGGCCGUAACUAUAACGGUCCUAAGGUAGCGAAAUUCCUUGUCGGGUAAGUUCCGACCUGCACGAAUGGCAUAAUGAUGGCGGCGCUGUCUCCAGCAGAGGCUCAGUGAAAUCGAAAUCGCUGUGAAGAUGCAGUGUACCCGCGGCUAGACGGAAAGACCCCGUGAACCUUUACUGCAGCUUGACACUGAACUUUGACCUUACUUGUGUAGGAUAGGUGGGAGGCUUUGAAGCUGGAACGCUAGUUCCAGUGGAGCCGUCCUUGAAAUACCACCCUGGUAAUGUUGAGGUUCUAACUCUGUCCCGUGAUCCGGGACGAGGACCGUGUCUGGUGGGUAGUUUGACUGGGGCGGUCUCCUCCUAAAGAGUAACGGAGGAGUACGAAGGUGCGCUCAGCGUGGUCGGAAAUCACGCGUAGAGUAUAAAGGCAAAAGCGCGCUUAACUGCGAGACCCACAAGUCGAGCAGGUACGAAAGUAGGUCUUAGUGAUCCGGUGGUUCUGUAUGGAAGGGCCAUCGCUCAACGGAUAAAAGGUACUCUGGGGAUAACAGGCUGAUACCGCCCAAGAGUUCAUAUCGACGGCGGUGUUUGGCACCUCGAUGUCGGCUCAUCUCAUCCUGGGGCUGAAGCAGGUCCCAAGGGUAUGGCUGUUCGCCAUUUAAAGAGGUACGCGAGCUGGGUUUAGAACGUCGUGAGACAGUUCGGUCCCUAUCUACCGUGGGCGCUGGAAAUUUGAGAGGAUCUGCUCCUAGUACGAGAGGACCAGAGUGGACGAACCUCUGGUGUACCGGUUGUGACGCCAGUCGCAUCGCCGGGUAGCUAUGUUCGGAAGGGAUAACCGCUGAAAGCAUCUAAGCGGGAAGCCUACCUCAAGAUAAGAUUUCCCUAGGACUUUAUGUCCUCUAAAGAGCCGUUCGAGACUAGGACGUUGAUAGGUUGGAUGUGGAAGCAUAGUGAUAUGUGAAGCUGACCAAUACUAAUUGCUCGUGAGGCUUGACUAU
This 1414-nucleotide ribosomal RNA is filed under the name Acinetobacter baumannii. RNAcentral's name for it is "partial 23S ribosomal RNA". It matches the Rfam family "Bacterial large subunit ribosomal RNA", at positions 1536 to 2925 of the family's 2925-position model. The record is from RNAcentral. Lineage: Bacteria; Pseudomonadati; Pseudomonadota; Gammaproteobacteria; Moraxellales; Moraxellaceae.